This 484-nucleotide ribosomal RNA is filed under the name uncultured bacterium. Its description in RNAcentral is "partial 16S ribosomal RNA". It matches the Rfam family "Bacterial small subunit ribosomal RNA", at positions 30 to 507 of the family's 1533-position model. The record is from RNAcentral.
AUUGAACGCUGGCGGCAGGCCUAACACAUGCAAGUCGAGCGGAUGAAGGGAGCUUGCUCCUGGAUUCAGCGGCGGACGGGUGAGUAAUGCCUAGGAAUCUGCCUGGUAGUGGGGGAUAACGUCCGGAAACGGGCGCUAAUACCGCAUACGUCCUGAGGGAGAAAGUGGGGGAUCUUCGGACCUCACGCUAUCAGAUGAGCCUAGGUCGGAUUAGCUAGUUGGUGGGGUAAAGGCCUACCAAGGCGAGGAUCCGUGACUGGUCUGAGAGGAUGGUCAGUCACCCUGGAACGGAGACACGGUCCAGACUCCUACGGGAGGCAGCAGUGUGGAAUAGUGGACAAUGGGCGAAAGCCUGAUCCAGCCAUGCCGCGUGUGUGAAGAAGGUCUUCGGAUUGUAAAGCACUUUAAGUUGGGAGGAAGGGCAGUAAGUUAAUACCUUGCUGUUUUGACGUUACCAACAGAAUAAGCACCGGCUAACUUCGUG